Molecule: small RNA, 75 nt
Filed under: Xanthomonas campestris
Lineage: Bacteria; Pseudomonadati; Pseudomonadota; Gammaproteobacteria; Lysobacterales; Lysobacteraceae
Also listed under: 1 other name
Description: sX9 sRNA
Rfam family: Xanthomonas sRNA sX9
Source: RNAcentral
AUAUACCCCCCUACACUCCGGUUCCUCCGCGCCGUCCGCACCCACCUGACAGCUGCUCGCUACGUUUUGUUAGCC